AAAUGAAUAGACGGGGGCCCGCACAAGCGGAGGAGCAUGUGGUUUAAUUCGAUGGUACGCGAGGAACCUUACCUGGGUUAGAACGUAUGAUAAAUGUAGCUGAAAGGUUACAGUCCUGCAAGGGAUAUCAUACGAGGUGCUGCAUGGUUGUCGUCAGCUCGUGCCGUGAGGUGUUUGGUUAAGUCCAGCAACGAGCGCAACCCCUACCUUUAGUUGCCAGCAGGUAAAGCUGGGGACACUAGAGGGACUGCCUGCGCAAGCAGAGAGGAAGGUGGGGAUGACGUCAAAUCAGCACGGCCCUUAUGUCCAGGGCUACACACGUGCUACAAUGGUAACUACAGAGGGCAGCGACUAGGCGACUAGGAGCAAAUCUCGAAAAGUUAUCUCAGUUCGGAUUGGAGUCUGCAACUCGACUCCAUGAAGGUGGAUUCGCUAGUAAUCGCGCAUCAGCAAUGGCGCGGUGAAUACGUUCCCGGGCCUUGUACACACCGCCCGU
RNAcentral lists this ribosomal RNA (496 nucleotides) under uncultured bacterium. Its description in RNAcentral is "bacterial SSU rRNA". It matches the Rfam family "Bacterial small subunit ribosomal RNA", at positions 903 to 1397 of the family's 1533-position model. The record is from RNAcentral.